CAGCUGCAAACAAAACGACUCAAUGUUAGGAGAGACUGCGUGUCGGAUUUCCGAUAACUGCGUGCAGUUUAAACGGCAGGCCGAGAUUUUGAUCAGAAAACGCACGGAUUUUGCUCCGUGCGUCACCAGGAGCGCUUCAUUCUCCCUUAAACGGCUGAAGCCGCGCAAUUUGGAGUGAGUUGCGCACAAUGCGCAACCAAGACGCACAUCGCAAUACUUUGGGGGAUAAAAUGGCUGCAUGGGUAUAGGUUUUAUUUAGAGACACUCUUCGGAUUGUGUUGCUUUCAGUCAGCUGUUAACUAACCCAGCGCUGCUGCAUGACACAGGUUUACAGAUUUGUUUUUUGUUUUUAAGUUGGGAACUAGCAAAAGAAACAUGGCUCGUUCUUGCAGUAAGUUCUUGUGGAUCGUUAAAACCAAAUCAUCGUUUAAUUUAAAAAGAAAAAAAAUGUUUUGUUUUAUAACAGAUGACAUUUUAAACGACCAAAACCAAAAUAUUAAAGAAAGAACAGGUAAGGCCCGCGUUUCCCAUCGCAUAAAAUCACCGAGAUGAUCAGAAAAUCAGAAUAAAACGAAUGCAUUAAAAUGAUACUUCACAGGCAGCAAAUAUUGAUAAAACGAGGUGACAGUGUCCACAUAAAUAACCGUUCCCCAUUCAUGUGUUGACUCAGUAAUCGACAUUUCAAUUAAGAUAUGCUUUGAACACCACCCUUACUACAAUGUCAUCACGAGACAGAGAGGCAGCGAGAGAGGGAGAGAGAGAGAGAGAGAGAGGCUGAACAACUAAUAAAUUCGUUUUGUCUCCCGUCUGGGAAUGAUUUAUCUGAUCGCACGAUAUCAGCGGCUGAAAAGUGGAGUGGUUUAAGCAUCUUCCCCCCAACCUCUGUCUCUGAAGAAACAGACACGAAGGGUGCAGCUGGAGAAGAAAAGAAGGGAUCUUACCGGCUCACGGGGCGCACAGGUUGUCGAGUCCAGACAAAGUACAACUUAAAUGUUACAACUGCCACCCGAAGGCGCGACAAGAAACAGUCCAGUGGUGGCGAUGGCGGAAUAUCAACAGAGCGCACUGAUAAAAUCCCAUCCGGCGGCGCGCAAGUGACCCUUUCUCACUCAAGAAUAUUUUUAUUCGUUAUUUAUAUCUGAGGAUCCGGCUGCCCAUUGGUCUCUUCACGCAGGCAUGAGUCACAGCCUUGCCUCCCACCCUGACGGCUAAUGAAGCUUCCCUGAGUGCUACUGACAGCUACAAUCCACUUUAAGGAACCAAACAAGCAAAAGGAAAAAUACCGAUGACGUUUACCCGCCCCUGUGUGCGUAUAUGUGUGUGUGGGCGAGCUCUUGUGUCUCCAGGUGUGGGUGGGUGUCACAGGGAUGAGGGUGGAGACUUGAAUGUAAAUUUGGUUACAUAGAAAUUGACCUUGGAAUGAAACUGCACAGCUGGGCUUUUAAAUACCAACAGAUACAUAUUCAGGACAUCCGGUCCAUCUCCUCAUAUCUGUUGAUUGAUUGGGUUUUGGGGACCUGUGGAAGCUGUUAGGUCAUUUAUUCCAGAAUGGACACAUGUAUUAUAAAGCGAGCAGGACAAGCCAUCCAGGAGCCAUCCAUCCAUGCAAGCACUGUCUGUAAUAUUCACCUUCAUGAGAUGAAAACAUUACCUACAUCAUAAUUUCUGACCUACUCACUGCUUUAACCUCGCCACGGACAAUAACGCCGAGACUUCAAAGCAUGGCGGGCGCUGGCUUAGUGUCUUUUCUGUCAUCCUCACGCCUGCCUCUGGAUCCAGUGCACAGGCAGGGACCGGCCAUUAUGUUCAUUCAGCCGCUGCAAUUUAUUCAGCCUUUAUCAGGAGCCAAUCAUAUCUUUCUACACUCACAAGUGACAUGUGGAGAUGCAUAAAGAUAAACUCAGACUGAUGGCAUUCAACAAGGAGGCUUAGCUGCUGGGAUUUACAUCUGCACUAAAACAGGGCACAUAAAAGGUCUUCACUGCUUAUGAGUUUACAUAGGCUAACAUUUUAUUUGUGCUAAUUUAAUUGCCACCAUAACAAAAGACUGGAGAGUGGACCAGAUGGACUCCAGAAUCAGUUCUUUUGUUUGGGUCACGUUACAGCUCUCAUCCACAGUGAAAACUGAAAAACAAAACAACAUCGCUUAUCAUCUUCACAGAGAGAGAGCUGAUGUUUAAAGAAUCCUGAAAUCAAAGCCAUGGGAGGAUUCAGCAAACAUGGUGGCAGACGUGCAAACUUCCAGGGGAAAGUGUUUUUUUGUUGAAUUUCAUGCAGUCUGAAUGAUGAUACAUAAACAUGUUUUUGUAUGUCCCGGUGACAGUUUAGAUAAUGUUUUAACAUAACUGCUAGAGUCAGCAUCAAAGGGUUGGCCAAGUUGGCUGCAGAGUGUCCAGAUUGCUGCUAGGAGACCAAUAGUUGGAGACUGCUGAUGACACUUUAAGUGGUGAUCAAACAUAACCGCUUAGAAGAUUUUUGACUUUUAAAUAUCUGUUAUUAUAACAAGAAUGAGGAACACGAAUGCAGCAUUUACAUAUCAUCAGAUCUAUAGGCCAAAACUCCUCAGCUGCUUCUUUGUGUUGAGCAGUUAGCUGCUAACUGUAUGUGCUGUGUGUUCCUAGUGUUCAGUUUUAGCAUGUCUGGUCAUAAAACUGCAGGGUUGUAUUUUCCAAUGCAUUUUUAGCAUCAGUUCAAACACGUUAAGGUAUUUUACAUUUAAUCACAUAAUGAUUCUCAAAAUGGAUAUGACUCUGAUCGAGUGGAUUCAUUUACAGUCUCUUCUGCAGGUCAACGUGCAAAUGUUUAUCGGAUUUAUCAGGAAGCGUGUGUGGUGGUUUGUCCGUAUAUUUUCACGGCUGAUCUAUCAGCGAUUUAUCAGGUCACAUUUUCAGGAAAUGAGGGCAUCCGCUCAGUCCACAUGAGCUCCUUUAAUUCCAGGUGAAAAUAUGAGAGAAUAUGUAACUGUCACUGUGUCUACACUGAAAAGACUGCAACUGUGGGCAGCAGCAGUGUGCCUUAAAAUAAACACAAUAUAUGUAACAUAGUCCCUGCUAGACAGGUCGUACAGCUUUAAGGGUAAAUGUGAACAGGAGGGCAUGGCUUGUGUUUGUAAACAUGGUUUUCCUUUUCAUAAUCAUCACCAUGA
Haplochromis burtoni (Burton's mouthbrooder) is the source of this 3145-nucleotide long non-coding RNA. RefSeq lists it as uncharacterized. The record is from RefSeq and is a predicted model, not a curated record. The transcript has 3 exons. Lineage: Eukaryota; Metazoa; Chordata; Actinopteri; Cichliformes; Cichlidae.